Long non-coding RNA from Glossina fuscipes, 1409 nucleotides. RefSeq lists it as uncharacterized. Lineage: Eukaryota; Metazoa; Arthropoda; Insecta; Diptera; Glossinidae. The transcript has 3 exons. The record is from RefSeq and is a predicted model, not a curated record.
UUUGCUUUUGAACUUUUGAACGGUGAAGAUGUGGUAAAUUUGUUGUCGCGAGAGCCUGUGCGAAAUAAUAUACGUAAAUGUAUACAAAACUUAACACACAAUAAAUAAAUUGUUAUAGACUCUGCAAUUUGCAAUUUGUUGUUGAUAAAACGUCGAGUUGUUACAACGCUUUCUAUUGCGAUUUCGGAUCGAGUUCAAAAUAGUGUCGACGAAUUGAAUAUGCAUUAAAAUACAAGUAAUUAUUCACUAAUAAUAAUUUGAUUUAGUUUGAAUUUAGUUUUCGAAUGGUAGAGUUGUAUAAAUUUUUUAUCGCAUAACUGUAGAUUAGGGGCUUGAACGAGAUGGUUCGCUUUUAGUCUUCAAAACGGAAAAAACAAAACACACACAAAAAAAAAAAAAUAAAAAUUUUAAAUAAAAAAAGUUCAAAAUGAAAAAUAAAACAUAAAAAAUUAUAAAUUAAAUCUUUUAUUUUUUUCGCUUCAAUGCCUAUCAACGAAAUUUAUAACGUGUAACACCAGUCGCGAAAUAUGAAACAAAAGUAAUAAUAAAAGCAAACGCAAACGCAAAACGAAGAAUUGGCCAAAUAAGAAUCAGUAAACGGCUUUAGUUUGAUUUUUAAUUUUAUUUUGCAAAGAAAAAAAAAAAAAAACAAAAAAAAAAAAAACCCCAAAAAAAAGUUAAAAGUUAUUGCUAACCAGUCAAGUGUGAAGUGCAGAAAUGCAAAUUGAAAAUUUAUUUAAAGGCGACACACGAGAUAUGAGAUGAAAAGAAGGUAGAAAGGUAGACGAGGCUUGAAACGUUAAAAAGAAUAGAAGCGUAGAAGAAUAGAAGAAUAGAAAGAAGCACGCACAUCAAACUAUAUAUGUACACAUAAAAGUUUAAUCAGUUAUCGAUAUGUACAUAACGCGUAACAUAUAAAAAUCCGUGAAGCAAGCAAAUCGAGUUAAUUUGGCAUUAAAAAGCGAAAGCUUUCAGUGAAAUUUCCUCAAAAAACGCUAUCUCCCCUCAGCGGAGUCUAACGUAAGAUUAAUUGCGGGAAUAUUUCAAAGUAAAUGCGAUGAAAACAAUGAUUUAAUUAAAACAACAAAACAAAAAAAAAAAUAAAAAAUAAAAAAUAUGUUUUAAUUAAAAUGCAGGAAAAACUUUCCAUCAACUGAGAUGAACCCAUAAAACUAUGCCAAUGGAUUUAUUGCCACAACAUUCAUAAUUUAAUUUACCCAAACAUUACUAAUGAUUUCAUAAAAUGAUAGCCAAUGAACUGAACACAGAUUGAAAAUAAUUGAGAAAAGCUUGCUCUAAAACCAAAUUAUAAAAUAAAAUUUAAAGGAAGAUUUUUUAAACUCUACACCCGUAAUGAUUGUUAUUAAAUAAUUAAGCAAAUAAAUAAUAAGGAUAAAAAAAAAAAAAAA